AGGCAAUCUGUCUACAACAUCAAUCACCUGACUGAUCACUAGGGUUGAUUUUGUUGACCUGGCUAACAAGGUUGGUAUCCCCUUACGAGCUCCAUUUUUGUUCCUUCUGAAGUUGAGCACUGGAUCAAAGUGACAUUCCCAGAAGAGAGGAGGACUAGUCCUCAAUAAAGAGCAUACAAGUGUGGGAAAACUAAACCUCAAUGAGCCUGACAGCUGGCUUACAGCAUGU
This 229-nucleotide small RNA is filed under the name Mesocricetus auratus (golden hamster). Its description in RNAcentral is "7SK RNA (ENSMAUG00000002656.1)". The stretch from base 1 to 182 matches the Rfam family "7SK RNA". Rfam says of the family: 7SK was discovered as an abundant small nuclear RNA in the mid-70s but a possible function has only recently been suggested. Two independent studies have found that 7SK RNA binds the CDK9/cyclin T complex (known as elongation factor P-TEFb). The record is from RNAcentral. Lineage: Eukaryota; Metazoa; Chordata; Mammalia; Rodentia; Cricetidae.